UGGUGGGUAGUUUGACUGGGGCGGUCUCCUCCUAAAGAGUAACGGAGGAGCACGAAGGUUGGCUAAUCCUGGUCGGACAUCAGGAGGUUAGUGCAAUGGCAUAAGCCAGCUUGACUGCGAGCGUGACGGCGCGAGCAGGUGCGAAAGCAGGUCAUAGUGAUCCGGUGGUUCUGAAUGGAAGGGCCAUCGCUCAACGGAUAAAAGGUACUCCGGGGAUAACAGGCUGAUACCGCCCAAGAGUUCAUAUCGACGGCGGUGUUUGGCACCUCGAUGUCGGCUCAUCACAUCCUGGGGCUGAAGUAGGUCCCAAGGGUAUGGCUGUUCGCCAUUUAAAGUGGUACGCGAGCUGGGUUUAGAACGUCGUGAGACAGUUCGGUCCCUAUCUGCCGUGGGCGCUGGAGAAUUGAGGGGGGCUGCUCCUAGUACGAGAGGACCGGAGUGGACGCAUCACUGGUGUUCGGGUUGUCAUGCCAAUGGCACUGCCCGGUAGCUAAAUGCGGAAGAGAUAAGUGCUGAAAGCAUCUAAGCACGAAACUUGCCCCGAGAUGAGUUCUCCCUGACCCUUUAAGGGUCCUGAAGGAACGUUGAAGACGACGACGUUGAUAGGCCGGGUGUGUAAGCGCAGCGAUGCGUUGAGCUAACCGGUACUAAUGAACCGUGAGGCUUAACCUU
RNAcentral lists this ribosomal RNA (672 nucleotides) under Escherichia coli. Its description in RNAcentral is "partial 23S ribosomal RNA". It matches the Rfam family "Bacterial large subunit ribosomal RNA", at positions 2259 to 2925 of the family's 2925-position model. Lineage: Bacteria; Pseudomonadati; Pseudomonadota; Gammaproteobacteria; Enterobacterales; Enterobacteriaceae. The record is from RNAcentral.